Pyrus x bretschneideri (Chinese white pear) is the source of this 528-nucleotide long non-coding RNA. RefSeq lists it as uncharacterized. The transcript has 2 exons. The record is from RefSeq and is a predicted model, not a curated record. NCBI's taxonomy places the organism in Eukaryota, Viridiplantae, Streptophyta, Magnoliopsida, Rosales, Rosaceae.
CUUGUAUCUUAAUCUGAUACAAUAUGGUUCAGAAGGCCAGCGUUGUUUACAUGAUUCCCAUCAUUCUAUUGCUGUUGUUCUCAUCCAAAUUAGUCCUUGCCAAUGUUUCUGCAAACACAAAGCACAGUCUCUCUCUCUCUCUCUGUUUAAUUAGCAUUUAUACAUGAUUGAAGAGAGGAUCAGUUGGUCGCAUCUGCAAAUGAAGAAUAUUAUUGCAGCAAAGAAAAUAAACGUACCAACAAAUCCAAGGCCGCCUGGAUCAACUAACUGAGAUGAUAUAUGCAUGACCAAUUUCUUACAACAGAGAUAGAUUCAUAGAUCUUAUGUGGAACCACAUUUGUAUGACAUAUAUGGUCAACAAUAUAAAUAAAUAUGUAUAUAUAUAUAUAUAAGCUGUACUCAUUUUUAUGUCCUAAGUAUAGGACUAUAUAUAUACAUAUUUUGUAUCAAUAUAUUGAUACUGGAUAAGGUUCAUCAUGAUAAACACAUGCAGCUUAUAUGCAAUGAAAAGGCACAAUUAGUCUGUUA